GGGCGAUUAGCUCAGUCGGUUAGAGCGCGUCUCUGAUAAGGACGAGGUCGAUGGUUCGAAUCCAUCAUCGCCCACCU
RNAcentral lists this transfer RNA (77 nucleotides) under Paraconexibacter algicola. RNAcentral's name for it is "Conexibacter sp. Seoho-28 tRNA-Ile". It matches the Rfam family "tRNA". From Rfam's summary of the family: Transfer RNA (tRNA) molecules are approximately 80 nucleotides in length. Their secondary structure includes four short double-helical elements and three loops (D, anti-codon, and T loops). The record is from RNAcentral. Lineage: Bacteria; Bacillati; Actinomycetota; Thermoleophilia; Solirubrobacterales; Paraconexibacteraceae.